This 166-nucleotide small RNA is filed under the name human gut metagenome. RNAcentral describes it as "Clostridiales-1 RNA". It matches the Rfam family "Clostridiales-1 RNA". The record is from RNAcentral.
GAUGCCAAGGUCAAAAGGUCUAAACCCACAUGAGCUUGCUCAUAGGUGGGUGAAAGACUUUAUGACCUGCCCCGAUAUGAGCAUAAAAGUGGGAUGUUAAUCCCGCGAUAUGCGAAUAUUGGGUAGGAGUGUGGGAGCACAUAGUGCGGAGCAAUCCGUAGGCAUC